This 1306-nucleotide long non-coding RNA is filed under the name Homo sapiens (human). Its description in RNAcentral is "HSALNT0058954". Lineage: Eukaryota; Metazoa; Chordata; Mammalia; Primates; Hominidae. The record is from RNAcentral.
CUUUCUACUAUAAAGACACAUGCACAUGUAUGUUUAUUGCAGCAUUAUUCACAAUGGCAAUGACUUGGAACCAACCCAAAUGCCCAUCAAUUAUAGACUGGCUAAAGAAAAUGUGGCACAUAUGCACCAUGGAAUACUAUGCAGCCAUAAAAAAGGAUGAGUUCAUGUCCUUUGCAGGGACAUGGAUGAAACUGGAAACCAUCAUUCUCAGCAAAGUAACACAAGAAGAGAAAACCAAACACCACACGUUCUCACUCAUAAGUGGGAGUUGAGCAAUGAGAACACAUGGACACAGGGAGGGGAACAUCACACACUGCGGCCUGUUGAGGGGUGGAGGGCUGGGGGAGGGAUAGCAUUAGGAGAAAUACCUAAUGUAAAUGACGAGUUGAUGGGUGCAGCAAACCAACAUGGCACAUGUACACUUAUGUAACAAACUGCACGUUGUGCAUGUGUACCCCAGAACUUAAAGUAUAAUAAUAAUAAAAAAAGAAUAGAUCAUAUGAUUAAAGAAAUAAAGAUAUAUAACAUUAUUUCACACCUGGGUGCUGUGGAGUAACAUUCAUACCACUACUUAUGAUUAUUUAGUAAUAUCUUGUUUAUGGAGGUUUUCAUAGCAAAUUUUCCAAUUGGAAUUUUAACACUACACCAAGGAACUUGUCAGUUUCAGUACGUGUGUGUGUCUAAACAGUGAUGAUCUUUGUGAGAUGGUGUACAAUCUGUAUUCCUGCAGCUCUUCCCUGUUUAUAAAAACAUUAUUUUUUUUUGUUUCCUGCAGUGGUCUUUUAGGGUAGGCAAGGAUCAUUACCCUCCAUUUUACAGAGCCUCAGAGAGAUCAGGGAACUUUCUGAAAGUCACAGGCUUGGUGGGCCUCAGGCAGGGCUUCAGAUGCAGACAUUUGGAUUUUGAGUUCUGAGUGUGAUCAGCCACUGCACACAGAGCCAGGAAUGGAACUUCCAGGCUGCCCGUUUUCACUUGGUACCAGAAAGGUAGGUUGGAGGUGAGGAGUGUCAGAAUUGCCCCUCUCUUGCUCACCUUCACAUUCCUGGCCAUGAAGGUGAGAAUGGAUCCAGACAAUAAUGUGUUUUCAUUUGUGGUUGCUUAUCUUUUGUCUCCAACUGGCAAGCUGGAAUGAUGUUGGCACCACACGACAACAGCAGGGAGUCACAGCCUUUUCAUAAAUGCAUGGAGAAAUGAGGCAUCAGCAGGUACAGGUUACAGUGACUCAGGUGGGGCACAGGAAUUUCAUGAUUUUAAAAAAGGAUUCCAGAUUCUUCUGUUCUCCUUGCCAAAGGCUAGUCAAUUUUCC